This 1968-nucleotide ribosomal RNA is filed under the name gut metagenome. RNAcentral describes it as "bacterial LSU rRNA". It matches the Rfam family "Bacterial large subunit ribosomal RNA", at positions 3 to 2067 of the family's 2925-position model. The record is from RNAcentral.
UCAAGCUACAAAGAGCACAAGGGGAAUGCCUUGGCACCGAGAGCCGAAGAAGGACGUGACUAACUGCGAUAAGCUACGGGGAGCUGUAAGUGAGCGUUAUAUCCGUAGAUUUCCGAAUGGAGCAAUCCGAUUAGAGGAAAGUCUAAUCAUCAUAUACUGAAUACAUAGGUAUAUGAGGGGAACCGCCUGAACUGAAACAUCUAAGUAGGGCGAGGAAGAGAAAUCAACUGAGAUUCCGUAAGUAGUGGCGAGCGAACGCGGAAGAGGCCAAACCUAAUGUAGUAAUAUGUUAGGGGUUCGGACAGUAUAAUGAAUUGUCGAGAUUUAGCCGAAUGUCAUGGGAAGGGCAAUCAAAGAAGGUGAAAAUCCUGUAGGCGAAAAGUUAAGACAUCAGACUGUAUCCAGAGUACCGCCGGACACGUGAAACCCGGUGGGAAUACGGGGGGACCAUCCUCCAAGCCUAAAUACUACUCGAUGACCGAUAGAGAAGAAGUACUGUGAAGGAAAGGUGAAAAGCACCCCGGAAGGGGAGUGAAAGAGAACCUGAAACCUUGUGUUUACAAGCACCGAAAGUUCAUCAACGAACGAUCGGGUACCUUUUGUAGAAUGGUCCGGCGAGUGAAUGUAACUGGCAAGGUUAAGCACUUAAGGUGUGAAGCCGUAGCGAGAGCGAGUCUGAAAAGGGCGCAUGAAGUCAGUUGUAUUCGACCCGAAACCGGGUGACCUACCCAUGUCCAGGCUGAAGUGCAGGUAAAACUUCAUGGAGGGCCGAACCGACUCCCGUUGAAAUGGUAGCGGAUGAGGUGUGGGUAGCGGAGAAAUUCCAAUCGAACCCGGAGAUAGCUGGUUCUCUCCGAAAUAGCUUUAGGGCUAGCCUUGGAAUAGAUUACUGGAGGUAAAGCACUGAAUUGGCUAGGGGCCGAGAGGUUACUGAACCUUAUCAAACUAAGAAUGCCAGAUAAUCGUUUUCCAGGAGUCAGACAGUGGGAGAUAAGUUUCAUUGUCAAAAGGGAAACAGCCCAGACCUACAGCUAAGGUCCCAAAGUAUAGUUAAGUGGAAAAGGAUGUGGAAUUGCAUAGACAACCAGGAUGUUGGCUUAGAAGCAGCCACUCAUUAAAAGAGUGCGUAAUAGCUCACUGGUCGAGUGAUUCUGCGCCGAAAAUUUAACGGGGCUAAACUAUACACCGAAGCUUAGGAUACCGCAAGGUAUGGUAGGAGAGCGUUCUGUACGGAGUGAAGUCGUAGCGAAAGCGGCGGUGGACUGUACAGAAGUGAGAAUGCCGGAAUAAGUAGCGAGAAUUAAGUGAGAAUCUUAAUGGCCGAAAGUCUAAGGUUUUUGGAGGAAGGUUCGUCCGCUCCAAGUAAGUCGGGAGCUAAGGUCAGGCCGAAAGGCGUAGCCGAUGCACAAACGGUUGAUAUUCCGUUACCGUCUACAAUUUAAACAAGGGGACACAUACAAAGCGUUUAACCCGGGCGAUGGUUGACCCGGGCGCAAGGGACUGAAAUAAGAGUAGGGAAGUAAAUGUGGCGUAUGGCGAGAAAAGCUUUGUGUAUAGAAGUAGACGCCCGUACCGCAAACCGACACAGGUGGACAGGAAGAGAAUUCUAAGGCCAGCGGGAGAAGGGUAGUUAAGGAACUCGGCAAAUUGACUCCGUAACUUCGGAAUAAGGAGUGCUCGAAAGAGCCGCAGAGAAUAGGCCCAGGCGACUGUUUAGCAAAAACACAGGUCUCUGCCAAAUCGAAAGAUGAAGUAUAGGGGCUGACACCUGCCCGGUGCCGGAAGGUUAAGAGGAGGAGUGCAAGCUCCGAAUUGAAGCCCCGGUAAACGGCGGCCGUAACUAUAACGGUCCUAAGGUAGCGAAAUUCCUUGUCGGGUAAGUUCCGACCCGCACGAAUGGUGUAACGAUCUGGGCACUGUCUCAACUACCCACCCGGCGAAAUUGUAGUACCGGUGAAGAUGCCGGUU